AGGUUUGCCCGACAUUUUUCUAUUGCGUGUCUGGAUCCCAUCUUUCUUCAUAAAUGCCUUGCAGGCCUGGUUUUCACCACAUCAGGAUACAGGGCUGCUGGCUGAAUUCCGGUAUGAAACGGAGCGCUGGUGCACCGCAAUCUGUGUCAUACACAUGCACAUCCCUCUUCAGACAGAUGGACAGGGAGCCGAAUCCAUCACGGUACUCCUGCCAGGUUCGGUUAAAGUCAGUUUGUCCAUCAAACCGGCGCUGGAACACCGUCCAUCCCCCACCAGCUGAAACCAUGUCACACACGGCCUGGAAUGGACAAGUCAUAAA
Long non-coding RNA from Sinocyclocheilus rhinocerous, 319 nucleotides. RefSeq lists it as uncharacterized. NCBI's taxonomy places the organism in Eukaryota, Metazoa, Chordata, Actinopteri, Cypriniformes, Cyprinidae. The transcript is spliced from 3 exons. The record is from RefSeq and is a predicted model, not a curated record.